AGGGUUUGAUCAUGGCUCAGAUUGAACGCUGGCGGAAUGCUUUACACAUGCAAGUCGAACGGCAGCACGGACUUCGGUCUGGUGGCGAGUGGCGAACGGGUGAGUAAUGUAUCGGAACGUAUCCAGUAAUGGGGGAUAACUAAUCGAAAGGUUGGCUAAUACCGCAUACGCCCUACGGGGGAAAGCAGGGGAUCUUCGGACCUUGCGUUAAUGGAGCGGCCGAUAUCUGAUUAGCUAGUUGGUGAGGUGAGAGCUCACCAAGGCGACGAUCAGUAGCUGGUCUGAGAGGACGACCAGCCACACUGGAACUGAGACACGGUCCAGACUCCUACGGGAGGCAGCAGUGGGGAAUUUUGGACAAUGGGCGCAAGCCUGAUCCAGCCAUUCCGCGUGAGUGAAGAAGGCCUUCGGGUUGUAAAGCUCUUUCGCAAGGGAAGAAACGAUGCAGACGAAUAAUCUGUGUUAAUGACGGUACCUUGAUAAGAAGCACCGGCUAACUACGUGCCAGCAGCCGCGGUAAUACGUAGGGUGCAAGCGUUAAUCAGAAUUACUGGGCGUAAAGCGUGCGCAGGCGGUUUUGUAAGUCAGAUGUGAAAUCCCCGAGCUCAACUUGGGAACUGCGUUUGAAACUAC
RNAcentral lists this ribosomal RNA (633 nucleotides) under uncultured Methylotenera sp. Its description in RNAcentral is "bacterial SSU rRNA". It matches the Rfam family "Bacterial small subunit ribosomal RNA", at positions 8 to 636 of the family's 1533-position model. Lineage: Bacteria; Pseudomonadati; Pseudomonadota; Betaproteobacteria; Nitrosomonadales; Methylophilaceae. The record is from RNAcentral.